GGUAAUGCCGGAUGCUCCAGUUGAUCGCAUGGUCUUCUGGGAAAGCUUUCGCGGUAUGGGAUGGGGUCGCGUCCUAUCAGCUUGACGGCGGGGUAACGGCCCACCGUGGCUUCGACGGGUAGCCGGCCUGAGAGGGCGACCGGCCACAUUGGGACUGAGAUACGGCCCAGACUCCUACGGGAGGCAGCAGUGGGGAAUAUUGCACAAUGGGCGCAAGCCUGAUGCAGCGACGCCGCGUGAGGGAUGGAGGCCUUCGGGUUGUAAACCUCUUUUAUCGGGGAGCAAGCGUGAGUGAGUUUACCCGUUGAAUAAGCACCGGCUAACUACGUGCCAGCAGCCGCGGUAAUACGUAGGGUGCAAGCGUUAUCCGGAAUUAUUGGGCGUAAAGGGCUCGUAGGCGGUUCGUCGCGUCCGGUGUGAAAGUCCAUCGCUUAACGGUGGAUCCGCGCCGGGUACGGGCGGGCUUGAGUGCGGUAGGGGAGACUGGAAUUCCCGGUGUAACGGUGGAAUGUGUAGAUAUCGGAAAAAAAACACCA
RNAcentral lists this ribosomal RNA (536 nucleotides) under Bifidobacterium longum subsp. suillum. Its description in RNAcentral is "bacterial SSU rRNA". It matches the Rfam family "Bacterial small subunit ribosomal RNA", at positions 162 to 711 of the family's 1533-position model. Lineage: Bacteria; Bacillati; Actinomycetota; Actinomycetes; Bifidobacteriales; Bifidobacteriaceae. The record is from RNAcentral.